This 124-nucleotide ribosomal RNA is filed under the name Pteropus alecto (black flying fox). The record is from RNAcentral. Lineage: Eukaryota; Metazoa; Chordata; Mammalia; Chiroptera; Pteropodidae.
GACUAUGGCCAUGCUACCCUGAGCAUGCCCAAUCCCGUUUAAUGUCAGAAGCUAAGCAGGGUCGGACCUGGUUAGUAAUUGGAUGGGAGACCACCAAGGAAGAACAGGACAGGUGCUGUAGGCA